GUGGGUAUAGCUGAGUGGUAGAGCACAUGCUUAGCAUGCACGAGGUCUUGGGUUCAACCCCCAAUCCCUCUA
RNAcentral lists this transfer RNA (72 nucleotides) under Camelus bactrianus (Bactrian camel). It matches the Rfam family "tRNA". From Rfam's summary of the family: Transfer RNA (tRNA) molecules are approximately 80 nucleotides in length. Their secondary structure includes four short double-helical elements and three loops (D, anti-codon, and T loops). Further hydrogen bonds mediate the characteristic L-shaped molecular structure. tRNAs have two regions of fundamental functional importance: the anti-codon, which is responsible for specific mRNA codon recognition, and the 3' end, to which the tRNAs corresponding amino acid is attached (by aminoacyl-tRNA synthetases). tRNAs cope with the degeneracy of the genetic code in two manners: having more than one tRNA (with a specific anti-codon) for a particular amino acid; and 'wobble' base-pairing, i.e. permitting non-standard base-pairing at the 3rd anti-codon position. The record is from Rfam by way of RNAcentral. RNAcentral also lists the same sequence under 2 other names. Lineage: Eukaryota; Metazoa; Chordata; Mammalia; Artiodactyla; Camelidae.